This 492-nucleotide ribosomal RNA is filed under the name uncultured bacterium. RNAcentral describes it as "partial 16S ribosomal RNA". It matches the Rfam family "Bacterial small subunit ribosomal RNA", at positions 29 to 507 of the family's 1533-position model. The record is from RNAcentral.
AGUGAACACUGGCGGUAGGCCUAACACAUGCAAGUCGAACGGCAGCACAGUAAGAGCUUGCUCUUACGGGUGGCGAGUGGCGGACGGGUGAGGAAUACAUCGGAAUCUACUUUUUCGUGGGGGAUAACGUAGGGAAACUUACGCUAAUACCGCAUACGACCUACGGGUGAAAGCAGGGGAUCUUCGGACCUUGCGCGAUUGAAUGAGCCGAUGUCGGAUUAGCUAGUUGGCGGGGUAAAGGCCCACCAAGGCGACGAUCCGUAGCUGGUCUGAGAGGAUGAUCAGCCACACUGGAACUGAGACACGGUCCAGACUCCUACGGGAGGCAGCAGUGGGGAAUAUUGGACAAUGGGCGCAAGCCUGAUCCAGCCAUACCGCGUGGGUGAAGAAGGCCUUCGGGUUGUAAGGCCCUUUUGUUGGGAAAGAAAAGCAGCAGGUUAAUACCCCGCUGUUCUGACGGUACCCAAAGAAUAAGCACCGGCUAACUUCGUG